This 253-nucleotide ribosomal RNA is filed under the name uncultured bacterium. RNAcentral's name for it is "partial 16S ribosomal RNA". It matches the Rfam family "Bacterial small subunit ribosomal RNA", at positions 524 to 776 of the family's 1533-position model. The record is from RNAcentral.
UACAGAGGGUGCAAGCGUUGUUCGGAAUUACUGGGCGUAAAGCGUGCGUAGGCGGCUAUGUAAGACAGAUGUGAAAUCCCUGGGCUCAACCUAGGAACUGCAUUUGUGACUGCAUUGCUAGAGUGUGGUAGAGGGAGAUGGAAUUCCGCAUGUAGCAGUGAAAUGCGUAGAUAUGCGGAGGAACACCAAUGGCGAAGGCAAUCUCCUGGACCUGCACUGACGCUCAUGCACGAAAGCGUGGGGAGCAAACAGG